RNAcentral lists this non-coding RNA (30 nucleotides) under Rattus norvegicus (Norway rat). Lineage: Eukaryota; Metazoa; Chordata; Mammalia; Rodentia; Muridae. The record is from RNAcentral.
UGAAAUUGUGCCUCAAGGUCUCAUCAUAUU